Molecule: non-coding RNA, 206 nt
Filed under: Thermoactinomyces sp.
Lineage: Bacteria; Bacillati; Bacillota; Bacilli; Caryophanales; Thermoactinomycetaceae
Description: T-box sequence
Rfam family: T-box leader
About the family: Uncharged tRNA acts as the effector for transcription antitermination of genes in the T-box leader family. T-boxes are found upstream of many aminoacyl-tRNA synthetase genes and some amino acid biosynthetic genes usually in Gram-positive bacteria.
Source: RNAcentral
UAAAAAGCUGUGAACAAGCGAGUAGUCGCCAGACCAUUCCUUCCAGAGAGCCGGUGGUUGCUGCGAACCGGCAGGAACCUGGCGGUGAAUUACACUUGGGAGCUUGCGUGUCAUGCGCACGGACGACAGGGUCCGUUAUCGAAAUGAGUGGGAAACGUCCGGUUUCCAAUGAGGGUGGUACCGCGGAAUCAAUCUCCGUCCCUUUU